This 497-nucleotide ribosomal RNA is filed under the name uncultured bacterium. RNAcentral's name for it is "partial 16S ribosomal RNA". It matches the Rfam family "Bacterial small subunit ribosomal RNA", at positions 28 to 507 of the family's 1533-position model. The record is from RNAcentral.
GAUGAACGCUGGCGGCGUGCCUAAUACAUGCAAGUCGAACGCUCAGGGGGGGGCCUGCCUCCCUGGACGUUUUGCGCGGGGGUGAGUAUCGCGCAGGUAUAACGUCCGUUUGCGGGGGGGAAAUCUUGGGAAAGCCGGCUAUAAUCCCAUAUAAUUUGUUGUACCGUGUUGUUCACUUGUAAGGUGCGAUUGUGUUAUUACUAGUUGGUGCAGCGGCGCCUUAUUAGCUAGUUGGUGAGGUAACGGCUUACCAAGGCGACGAUUCGUAGCCGACCUGAGAGGGUGAUCGGCCACACUGGAACUGAGACACGGCCCAGACUCCUACGGGAGGCAGCAGUAGGGAAUCUUCCGCAAUGGGCGGAAGCCUGACCGAGCAACGCCGCGUGAGUGAUGAAGGUCUUCGGAUCGUAAAACUCUGUUAUUAGGGAAGAACAAAUGUGUAAGUAACUAUGCACCUCUUGACCGUAACCAAACAGAAAGCCAAGGCCAACUAACUG